GCGGCGGGUAGGGUCGGAGGCCUGCCCUCUCCCUGGCCAGCAAUGGGCAUCAGCUGGGACCAGUAACUGGGGGUGUAAAAGGCGGGGCCGACGGGAGGAAAGCGGGCCAAAUGGGCGCUGAACCCUUACCCCCUGGGGGCCGAGGGCCCGAGUUCCCUUCCGGAGGGAAGGGAAGCGGGUUAGCCGCCGGGAACGGACUAGGCCCGGAAGGGAGCAGUCACACCGGCGAACUCGGUCGUUCAGGGGUGAUGGGCAAGCCCAUCCGCGAUCCGAACGCCGAAUCCUGCCUGGCGCCUUCAGGGCCGCCGC
RNAcentral lists this signal recognition particle RNA (309 nucleotides) under Thermoproteati archaeon. RNAcentral's name for it is "TACK group archaeon signal recognition particle sRNA". It matches the Rfam family "Archaeal signal recognition particle RNA". Lineage: Archaea; Thermoproteati. The record is from RNAcentral.